CCCUACGGGAGGCAGCAGUGAGGAAUAUUGGUCAAUGGCCGAGAGGCUGAACCAGCCAAGUCGCGUGAGGGAAGAAUGUCCUAAGGAUUGUAAACCUCUUUUGUCGGGGAGCAAAAAGGCUCUGCGGAGUCGUAUUGAGAGUACCCGAAGAAAAAGCAUCGGCUAACUCCGUGCCAGCAGCCGCGGUAAUACGGAGGAUGCGAGCGUUAUCCGGAUUUAUUGGGUUUAAAGGGUGCGUAGUCGGGCUGUUAAGUCAGCGGUCAAAUGUCGGGGCUCAACCCCGGCCUGCCGUUGAAACUGGCGGU
RNAcentral lists this ribosomal RNA (305 nucleotides) under uncultured bacterium. RNAcentral's name for it is "bacterial SSU rRNA". It matches the Rfam family "Bacterial small subunit ribosomal RNA", at positions 337 to 640 of the family's 1533-position model. The record is from RNAcentral.